GGCUCAGGAUGAACGCUGGCGGCGUGCCUAAUACAUGCAAGUCGAACGAGGUGCUCAAGUAGCAAUACGAGAGUAUCCUAGUGGCGAACGGGUGAGUAACGCGUUGGUGACCUGCCCCAAAGUGUGGGAUAACAGUCCGAAAGGACUGCUAAUACCGCAUGUGGUCUUCGGAUCCAGAAACCGAUGACUAAAGGAGUAAUCCGCUUUGGGAGGGACCUGCGUCCCAUCAGCUAGUUGGUAGGGUAACGGCCUACCAAGGCUACGACGGGUAGGGGACCUGAGAGGGUGGCCCCCCACAAUGGAACUGAAACACGGUCCAUACACCUACGGGUGGCAGCAGUAGGGAAUAUUGCACAAUGGGCGAAAGCCUGAUGCAGCAACGCCGCGUGUGCGAAGAAGGCCUUCGGGUCGUAAAGCACUUUUCUGAGAGAUGAGAAAGGACAGUAUCUCAGGAAUAAGUCUCGGCUAACUACGUGCCAGCAGCCGCGGUAAAACGUAGGAGGCGAGCGUUAUCCGGAUUCACUGGGCGUAAAGCGCGUGCAGGCGGUUCGGUAAGUUGGGCGUGAAAUCUCCUGGCUCAACUAGGAGAGGUCGUUCAAUACUACCGGGCUAGAGAGCGGUAGAGGAAGAUGGAAUUCCCGGUGUAGUGGUGAAAUGCGUAGAUAUCGGGAGGAACACCAGUGGCGAAGGCGAUCUUCUGGACCGUUUCUGACGCUCAGACGCGACAGCUAGGGUAGCAAACGGGAUUAGAGACCCCGGUAGUCCUAGCCGUAAACGAUGUGAACUUGGCGUCGGUGGGUUAAACUCCAUCGGUGCCGCAGCUAACGCGAUAAGUUCACCGCCUGGGGACUACGGCCGCAGGGUUAAACUC
This 871-nucleotide ribosomal RNA is filed under the name uncultured bacterium. RNAcentral's name for it is "bacterial SSU rRNA". It matches the Rfam family "Bacterial small subunit ribosomal RNA", at positions 21 to 902 of the family's 1533-position model. The record is from RNAcentral.